This is a long non-coding RNA of Cyprinus carpio (common carp), 938 nucleotides long. Lineage: Eukaryota; Metazoa; Chordata; Actinopteri; Cypriniformes; Cyprinidae. The record is from Ensembl.
GAUAACUCUCUGUUAUCUCUGUUAUAUUUACAGUACUCUGGAUACUUAUAGUUUAUUGAAAUAUAAAACAGGCUUAAUAAUUUACAACAAAUAAUUGAUCUUAAUGUGUUUAUGGUCAGCAAAGCAUAACUUCAAGUAGACGAGAAAUGUGAAUCCUGAGACCCAUGGUUUGCUGCAGUGAAAAGCUUGCUGUAGUUUUCUCUGGACAGCUUUAUGUCUGGAUUUGGGACAUCUCAGCAUGAGAGAGACAUCUUUACGGCCAGUGCUAUCGGAAAAAUACAGGGCAGGGUCUGCAAAGCUUGCAGGCAAAAGCUGGAGAGAUCUCCCUACUCUUGCCUUGUCCACAACACCAAAGAGAAGAGCUGGAGGAAGCCACUGAAAGCUUCUGCUCUUUCCUGUGUAAUACAUAGGUAAGCCAUCCAAAGUGUCCAAAUCAUGGGAUCAGAGAAUGAAAUUAACGGAACAUCUGGAUAUAUAGUUAUGUAUGGUGCCUUUUUCAGUCCCCAUUUAUAUCCAAAACCCCCUCAUACCAAGCAGACAUACACAUCAACAUGAUAAUAUAUGGCAUGAAGCCAAACCUCUCCCACACUUUCGUAUAUCUGUUUCUCUCACUGUCUUUCACUCUGACACGCAACUAUACACACCUCCAUUUCCCUCCUGUCCUCCCUUAACAUUCAAAUGACAAGCAUUCCUUCUUCCCUGUGCUUCCGCUGAAAGAGCCUUCCUCUCUUGUACAGAACUGUACUGUAACCUCACCGCUUGUGUUACCACCCCUGGGACAAACAGGUGAUAAAAUAGGACUCUGGCCAGCCAGCUCAUCCUCCCGCAUCUCUUUUAAUGAGCACAGAAAGGGAGAGCUGGGACAGGGAAUGAACUCCUUCCCUUUGAACACACUAAUUAUCCAGGAUGAUUUACACAUUUGUUUGCUUGGGAAUUUG